CCUCUCCUGGGUACAGCCCCGCCUCUCCUGGGUAUAGCCCUGCUUCACCUGGUUAUAGCCCCAGCUCACCAACAUAUAGUCCAAGCUCUCCAGGAUAUAGUCCUAGUAGCCCUACAUAUUCACCGACAAGUCCAUCCUACUCCCCUACCUCCCCCAGCUACAGCCCCACCUCCCCCAGCUACAGCCCCACCUCCCCAAGCUACAGCCCGACCUCCCCAAGCUACAGCCCCACCUCACCUGCCUACAGCCCCACCUCACCUGCUUACAGCCCCACCUCUCCGUCCUACAGCCCCACCUCUCCAUCCUACAGCCCGACCUCUCCGUCCUACAGCCCGAGCUCCCCGUCCUACAGCCCAACCUCCCCAUCCUACAGUCCAACCUCCCCAUCAUACAGCCCAACCUCACCUUCAUACAGUCCAACUUCUCCAUCAUAUAGUCCUACUUCUCCUGCAUACAGUCCCACAUCGCCGAGCUACAGUCCCACAUCUCCAAGCUAUAGUCCUACAUCUCCAAGCUACAACCCUUCAUCUGCAAAGUACAGCCCCUCCCUGGCAUAUUCCCCGAGCAGUCCAAGACUAUCACCAUCCAGCCCGUACAGUCCGACAUCCCCCAGUUACAGGCAAG
RNAcentral lists this long non-coding RNA (624 nucleotides) under Daucus carota (carrot). RNAcentral's name for it is "long non-coding RNA (DCAR_LNC003388)". The record is from RNAcentral. Lineage: Eukaryota; Viridiplantae; Streptophyta; Magnoliopsida; Apiales; Apiaceae.